GAGAGUCCUCAUCUGAAAGAGUUUACAAUGGGCACUGUCAAGCUUUCUCUGAGAAGACUGAGCCAUUGAGAUGCUUCAGAAAAAAUCUUAGUAACUAGCAAUAAAUCCCAUCCAGAAGUGAUGUUCUUCUCUGCAUGAUGGAGAAAUACCUUUUAGGUACUCAGGAUCAGCACUACCUACCAGCUUUCAGCCUGUUGCUAGCAAGCCUACCCAGAAAUACAAGGAACUGCUGAAAAAUGAGGAAAAAAACCUCCACGGAUACUUUAUUUUAAAUAAAUUUCUUGGAAAA
Long non-coding RNA from Gymnogyps californianus (California condor), 289 nucleotides. RefSeq lists it as uncharacterized. Lineage: Eukaryota; Metazoa; Chordata; Aves; Accipitriformes; Cathartidae. The record is from RefSeq and is a predicted model, not a curated record. The transcript has 3 exons.